ACUCAAAUGAAUUGACGGGGGCCCGCACAAGCAGUGGAGCAUGUGGUUUAAUUCGACGCAACGCGCAGAACCUUACCCGGGCUAGAAAAGUACGGAACCCUUUAGAAAUAUCGGGGUGCUCGCAAGAGAGCCGUAAUCCAGGUGCUGCAUGGCUGUCGUCAGCUCGUGUCGUGAGAUGUUGGGUUAAGUCCCGCAACGAGCGCAACCCUUGUCCUUAGUUGCCAUCAUUUAGUUGGGCACUCUAAGGAGACUGCCGGCGUCAAGCCGGAGGAAGGUGGGGAUGACGUCAAGUCCUCAUGGCCCUUAUGUCCGGGGCUACACACGUGCUACAAUGGUCGGUACAGAACGUCGCGUACCCGCGAGGGGAAGCCAAUCGGCAAAAGCCGACCUCAGUACGGAUUGCAGUCUGCAACUCGACUGCAUGAAGCCGGAAUUGCUAGUAAUCGCUGAUCAGCAGGCAGCGGUGAAUACGUUCCCGGGCCUUGUACACACCGCCCGU
RNAcentral lists this ribosomal RNA (499 nucleotides) under uncultured bacterium. Its description in RNAcentral is "partial 16S ribosomal RNA". It matches the Rfam family "Bacterial small subunit ribosomal RNA", at positions 899 to 1397 of the family's 1533-position model. The record is from RNAcentral.